GUUUCUUUGGAUGACAUAACACCGCUGUAGUGUUCUUCUGUGCUUUAUUCUUCUAGGAGUUGUGGUGGCGGUGAUGCCAGUUUCUCCAAGCCCGCCAAGAGGUUGAGGAUAAGGAAUGUGAAGCUAGAUCUUUAGACGUCUGUUUAUGUAUGAAGUGGGGAGAACUGUAUUGUUGUAGUUGGUUGUUCAGUAGCUUAUGUUUUAGUUUGAACUUGAAGUUGAUUGCCAACUUUUUUUUGAUCCAGUCUAGUAGGCAAUGUUUAGAUGAAGUCGUUUUUGUUGUUCACUUUUAUGAUAUCAUGUUUAUGUUGGAUUUUUUGUUAGUUUGCUAACUGGCAUUUGUG
RNAcentral lists this long non-coding RNA (344 nucleotides) under Lotus japonicus. RNAcentral describes it as "long non-coding RNA (LJAP_LNC000420)". The record is from RNAcentral. Lineage: Eukaryota; Viridiplantae; Streptophyta; Magnoliopsida; Fabales; Fabaceae.